GCACGCGCCGUGUCAACCGGACGUGGCGGUACAGGGCACAGGUUAGGUUUUUCCGGUUUCCCGCCUGGCCAGGGGAAUGGCUCCCACCCUUGUCCCGUCCGGCGC
This 105-nucleotide small RNA is filed under the name Nitratireductor basaltis. Its description in RNAcentral is "Rhizobiales sRNA Atu_At1". It matches the Rfam family "Rhizobiales sRNA Atu_At1". The record is from Rfam by way of RNAcentral. Lineage: Bacteria; Pseudomonadati; Pseudomonadota; Alphaproteobacteria; Hyphomicrobiales; Phyllobacteriaceae.